Molecule: ribosomal RNA, 506 nt
Filed under: uncultured bacterium
Lineage: Bacteria
Description: partial 16S ribosomal RNA
Rfam family: Bacterial small subunit ribosomal RNA
Source: RNAcentral
GAUGAACGCUAGCUACAGGCUUAACACAUGCAAGUCGAGGGGUAACGAGAGGAAAGCUUGCUUUCCUUGUCGACGACCGGCGCACGGGUGAGUAACGCGUAUCCAACCUGCCCCCAACUAGGGAAUAACCUUGCGAAAGUAAGACUAAUACCCUAUAAUUUCCUCAGAUGACAUCUGACGAGGAAUAAAGAUUUAUCGGUUGUGGAUGGGGAUGCGUCUGAUUAGCUUGUUGGCGGGGUAACGGCCCACCAAGGCAACGAUCAGUAGGGGUUCUGAGAGGAAGGUCCCCCACAUUGGAACUGAGACACGGUCCAAACUCCUACGGGAGGCAGCAGUGAGGAAUAUUGGUCAAUGGGCGGAAGCCUGAACCAGCCAAGUAGCGUGCAGGAUGACGGCCCUAUGGGUUGUAAACUGCUUUUAUACAGGAAUAAAGUUAGCCACGUGUGGUUAUUUGUAGGUACUGUAUGAAUAAGGACCGGCUAAUUCCGUGCCAGCCGCCGCCGUAA